Non-coding RNA from Peromyscus maniculatus bairdii (prairie deer mouse), 4017 nucleotides. The record is from RefSeq and is a predicted model, not a curated record. Lineage: Eukaryota; Metazoa; Chordata; Mammalia; Rodentia; Cricetidae.
AAUGGGUGAUUCCCAGGCCGGCAGGAGCUAGGGUAGAGAGCUGAAGAGGUCAGGUCUGCAGAGAGAGGAAACCCCAGGACCCCUCCAGCAUGGCAAGAUCACUGUGGUGGGCUGAGCCAUUAGGAGAGGAGAGGGAGGUGAAGGAGUGGAGGAGGUGUGGAGACAGAAGACAGACUGGAGUAGAAGCCUGGGCUUCCCACUUCGGGCUACAUGGUGGAAUCUUCUUGGGGAGCCCCACCCAGACCGAUGAAAUCACAAUGCAUGGGGUAGGACCCUCCCAAGAUAAAUUCCAGUGUUUUUUCAAAGCUCCCUGAGAAGUUUGCUGCUCAAUGCUUGAAGACUGACAUCAACAAGCCACAAAAUAAGGCUUCUCCUCCGCCUGGGGCCCUUGCUUGUCUGCUGUGGGGUGUCAGCACUGAGAAAGUGUCUGUCUGCUCAGAGGAAUACAUGGGUACACACUGUGCAGCUUGAGGCCAUCCUGCCUGGCGUCCACCAUGAGGCCAGCGGUUCGUGAAGACUCUCGCUGCUGAGGCCUCGGUGUCCUGUGAGAGCCGAGGGAUCGAAGCAAGGGCUCAGCACAUUCUCUGCAUCGUGCUGGCAGCUGACCUCGAUGCACAGAGCAGUACUGGCAGCCCUUCUGAGACAUUCCCCUUAAGGCCCAUUUGCCUGUGAGUGACAUCUAUGUGGGACUUGCAUUCCCCAGGAAGGAGCGCUGUGAGCAGCAGGAAGCUGACCUCACCACCCUGAGGUACUGUAUCCUCUCUUCUCCUGGAGGGCAGCUGGCCUGGUCUCCUGGGGACCCGAUAGGUCUGUAGGUCUGAUGCUGUUCUCCAUGGGUAUUGGUCCUAUGGGAGUGGGGGAGGGGAUGCAGAAGCUCAGCUGCUGAAAAAGAUAUUAAUAUCAUUCUGCAGAGUUGCUUUCAGUUGGAGCAAAUCUCCCUAUGUGGCCCAGACUGGCUUCAAACUGAUGGCAAUCCUCCUGCCUCAGCCCCCUGAGUGCCAAGAUCACAGAUAUGCACCAGCAUGCCUGGCUGAAAAUGAAGUUCUCGGGUGUGUGUGUAAGCCCCCAGUUAGUGGUCCUACAGAACAAAGAAAGCACCUGUCAGUCACCCAGCCUCCACCAUCCAGGCAGUGCAGCUGCUGCUUGGCCGUGUGAUUGACAGGCAGACCAAUCUGUAAACUGCAGAUGUCUAUGCCACAGGAGGGGUGAUGCUCCUCUGUGCUGUCACCGGCAGAUGAGGUGAGAUGCCUUGCUGCUGACUAGACAAUUGGUACUUUUCUGGCUGACAGAGAUGGAAUAUUGUUCCUGCCUCCCUGCUAGGAAACAGAACUGUCUGCCACUGAACACAGAUAGUCUUGGUUAUCUGGUUAUGAGUCUCAAAAAUGGGCUCUGGACAGCGGAAUUAGCAUUGCCUUGGAACCUGGAACUCAAAGAUCCUUUGUUGGUUCCACCUGCACUGCCUAGUGGGUCGGACUAGACGAAGCCAAGGCUCUUCGGGAUAGGAAAUGGAAAAUGCCUGAGAGCCAUGGCAGAGCAUAUGGGCUAAGAAGAGGGCCUGGGUAGUGCUGGGGACCCUGGUUCUUCUGGGUCUGACACAGGAAUACCACAUAUGCAAGGGAAAGCUGGAGCAGCUGGAAGAACAGGAGGGUGUGGAAGACAGGGCAAGUUCACUCUUGCUCUGAGAAUGGCUGUGGCUCACGAGUCCCUUUCCCUUCCCUGGACUGGCAACCACCAUGUGGACACAGCCAGCCCCUCGGCUCCUUCAACUGAGUACAGGGCCGUGUGAAAAUGUGGUAGCAAAUGCUAGUUUGGCUGAUACAGCAAGCCAAUCACCACACCGGGGUGGAUGUGCAGGUGUCUAGCCAGCUGCACCCUGCACACUAGGGCGGCCGGACCACCCCGCCACCACCUUGGUGGAAACAGGGCAAAAAUGGAAACUCUAGACUCUGCUACCUGUACCUGUCUCCUGCAGUCCUUGGUGGGCCUGUCCCUUUGGCUAGAACAUGUUUCAACACUGUCAUCAAAGAGACACAGCAGGCAUCUCUGUGUCAACACAGAUACUGGCCUCCCUUCUAUCCUGUCCAUCGCUGGAAUCGUAAAGCCAAAUGUGUCUGGCUGGUCGCCUGCUAUGUGAGCAAUGGAAAAAAGCCAAAAAUAAGCACUGCAAGUUGAUGACUCUGGACCAUUGGUGGAAACCGUGCCCAGAUUGGGGCAAGAAUGAGAGAACCAUGGCCUAAUGAGCAUACAGCAUCCAUGGACCCUGGUGUGGCCAUGAAGGUGUGAUUGUGCAUACAGCAUCCAUGGGCCCUAGUGUGGCCAUGAAGGUGUGAUUGUGCAUACAGCAUCCAUGGGCCCUAGUGUGGCCAUGAAGGUGUGAUUGUGCACACAGCAUCCAUGGGCCCUGGUGUGGCCAUGAAAGUGUGACUAUGCACAUAGCAUCCAUGGGCCCUGGUGUGGCCAUGAAAGUGUGACUAUGCACAUAGCAUCCAUGGGCCCUGGUGUGGCCAGGAAGGUGUGACCAUGCAUACAACAUCUGUGGGCCCUGGUGUGGAUGUGAAGGUAUGACUCUAUCUCCAGGCUGUCCUUCCUGGAGCAUCUGCCCAGAGUAGGACCUUGAUGCCUGGGCUUGGAGAGUAUCCCUCAUUACCUGCUUCCUUGAGGACCACAGUGGGGCUUGGCAUAUGGAAGUCUGUGAGCUGACUAGUUUUAUGUCAACUUGACAUAAGCUAAAGUCAUCUGAGAGGAGGGAGCCCCAAUUGAGAAAAUGCCUCCAUAAGGUUGGGCUUGGAAGAUAAGAAUGUUGAGACCAGUGCAGGCAAUGGAGGCCUGGCUUGUGAAGUUUCAGAGGAAAGCAAAGACUCUUCCAGGCCCUUAAUGUGAAGAAUCUGUGGUAUCUGGUCAGCUGGAGCUGAAGAGUCAGCCGUGAUUAACAAGAGACCAGAACCACUAAAGAAAAACCUUCUCUUUGCUGGGACAAUGGAUGCUGGGCAGCUGGGGCUGGAGAAGCAGCUGUGCUUAAGAAGAGGCCAGCAUCACUGAGGUGAUGUCUUCUGGGAAGUGUUUCCUCAGGGUCAGCACAGAGAAGCUGUGUUCCAGAGGUGGCCAAGGUUGUACCUUGUGCUAUCAGCCAAACUGGUCCUGUGUAAGAGUCAUCCAGGUAGCACUAGUUUUGAAGGCAUGAAGGGGUCAUGGAGAGCAGCUGAGGCUUCUUGGCACCGUGGCAGGAUGGAGUUCCUGAAGAGAGCCCAGGAGAGGCUAUUGGUAAAAGGGUAGACCCCAGCAUUUUGGAGAUGCUAGUAUCAUGGGAUGACCACCAAGAACAGCAGCAGCUGUGGAGUGGAGCCAGCUUGAGCCUAGAAGACAAACUUGUGUGCUGCAGAGGGCAGAGCCCAGAAGAUCGUGAGUGAGUUCCAGAUACUGGACAAUGAAUUAUUUAUGCUGUUUGUUUAUGAGUUUAUUUUGCUUUGUUCAAUUGUGACUGUGCCCUGGUUCUUUCCUCUUGAAGUAAGGAAAUAUUUAGCUUUCUUUUUAUUUUAUAAGAGCCCAUAGUUGAGAGAAUCAAUUUUAAAAAGAGAUUUUUGUUUUAAAAGAGACUUUGGAUUUUUAAAGUGAUUGAAUUUUAAAGUGUUUGAAUUUGUAAAGACCAUGGGACUUUUUAAGUUUGCAAACUGUUUUAUAUUGUUAUUGAUAUUAAUAUUGACAUUGAUAUUAAUGAUGAUCUUGGGGAUGAAUAAGAAAGGAAAGGUUGUGGCUUAACUGUGAUGUGUUUGGGUGUCAAGUUGACAAGGAGCCAAUUGUGCUGGCUAGUUUUAUGUCAACUUGACAUGAGCUAGAGUCAUCGAGAGGAGGGAACCUCAGUUGAGAAAAUGCUUCCAUAAGACCCAGCUAUGAGCAAGACUGCAGGGCAUUUUUUAAAUUAGUGUUGAUAGGGGAGGGCCCAGUCCAUUAUGGGUGGUGCCGUCCCCGAGUUCCAUAAGAAAGCAGGCUGAGCAAGCCAUGGAGCAAGCCAGUAAGCAG